UAUGAAAGAAGCCUUUAAUUGGGGACUC
Molecule: non-coding RNA, 28 nt
Filed under: Mus musculus (house mouse)
Lineage: Eukaryota; Metazoa; Chordata; Mammalia; Rodentia; Muridae
Source: RNAcentral